UACGAAGGGGGGCUAGCGUUGCUCGGAAUCACUGGGCGUAAAGCGCACGUAGGCGGACUCUUAAGUCAGGGGUGAAAUCCUGGAGCUCAACUCCAGAACUGCCUUUGAUACUGAGAGCCUUGAGUUCGGGAGAGGUGAGUGGAACUGCGAGUGUAGAGGUGAAAUUCGUAGAUAUUCGCAAGAACACCAGUGGCGAAGGCGGCUCACUGGCCCGAUACUGACGCUGAGGUGCGAAAGCGUGGGGAGCAAACAGGG
RNAcentral lists this ribosomal RNA (255 nucleotides) under uncultured bacterium. Its description in RNAcentral is "partial 16S ribosomal RNA". It matches the Rfam family "Bacterial small subunit ribosomal RNA", at positions 524 to 777 of the family's 1533-position model. The record is from RNAcentral.